UACGUAGGGGGCAAGCGUUGUCCGGAUUUAUUGGGCGUAAAGCGCUCGCAGGUGGUUCGUUGCGUCGUGCGUGAAAGGCCCCGGCUCAACUGGGGAGGGUCGUGCGAUACGGGCGGACUGGAGGCCAGUAGGGGGAUGCGGAAUUCCGGGUGUAGUGGUGGAAUGCGUAGAGAUCCGGAGGAACACCAGCGGCGAAGGCGGCAUCCUGGACUGGUCCUGACACUCAGGCACGAAAGCGUGGGGAGCAAACAGG
Molecule: ribosomal RNA, 253 nt
Filed under: uncultured bacterium
Lineage: Bacteria
Description: partial 16S ribosomal RNA
Rfam family: Bacterial small subunit ribosomal RNA
Source: RNAcentral